Molecule: ribosomal RNA, 257 nt
Filed under: uncultured prokaryote
Description: partial 16S ribosomal RNA
Rfam family: Bacterial small subunit ribosomal RNA
Source: RNAcentral
UAAUACGUAGGGUGCGAGCGUUAAUCGGAAUUACUGGGCGUAAAGCGCGCGCAGGCGGCUCUUUAAGUCUACCCGUGAAAUGCCGGAGCUCAACUCCGCGCACGCCGGGGGAUACUGGAGGGCUGGAGACAGGUAGAGGCAGGCGGAAUUCCGGGUGUAGCGGUGGAAGGCGUAGAGAUCCGGAAGAACACCAGAGGCGAAGGCGGCCUGCUGGGCCUUGUCUGACGCUGAGGCGCGAAAGCGUGGGGAGCGAACAG